This is a long non-coding RNA of Cynara cardunculus var. scolymus (artichoke), 678 nucleotides long. RefSeq lists it as uncharacterized. Lineage: Eukaryota; Viridiplantae; Streptophyta; Magnoliopsida; Asterales; Asteraceae. The record is from RefSeq and is a predicted model, not a curated record. The transcript has 2 exons.
CCCCAUAGCUUUACAGAAUCUAUUAGGAUAUAUGGUAGCAGAAUCUAUUAUACCCCAUCCUAUUAGUAAACGGCCCCGUGGUUAUGUUUUGAAGAGAGAGAAUUAGAAACCAACUAAUUGCUUUCAUCAAGAAAACUUAACAGUUUGCAGUGAUCAAGUUGCUGAAAUUGAAGUAGCUGUAUUAGUUAUUACUACCUAUUUUUGGACACACACCAAAAAAUGGGUAUCUCAAACCAUAAAAUGUGUURGUUAUUACUACCGUAUACUUUGUUAUUAACACCGCAAAGUUUUUUUCUUACUUGAUUUCCAUAUUCAAGACUCGAGACUCGAUUCAAGGUGAUCCAUUGCCCGGUCCAGGUAAUCCAUUUUGACUURCACAUCUUUUGUUGUUGACUUACACGUCUUUUGUCAUUUUGACUUACACAUCAGUUUUGUUAGAUUUAGUUUGUCUUCAAGAUUGAUUGCAAAGUUUUGUUCUUUCUUGAUUUCUAGAUUGCAAAGUUUUGUUUGCUCAUUUGCAGAUUGAUCACAUGCUAACAUUUGAAGAAGGUGUUUAAUGAUCUAGAGACGGGUUGGGUUUUGAGAAUUUAAACGAUCCGCUCGCUGUUGGCCRCAAAAAGGUUAGGAUUGUGUUAUUCACUCCCCAAUCUAUGUAUUUCUUCUCGGUUCUUUCUCUUA